GACGGGUGAGUAACACGUGGGAACGUACCCUUUGGUUCGGAACAACCCUGGGAAACUAGGGCUAAUACCGGAUACGCGCGAGAGCGGAAAGGUUUACCGCCGAAGGAUCGGCCCGCGUCUGAUUAGCUAGUUGGUGAGGUAACGGCUCACCAAGGCGACGAUCAGUAGCUGGUCUGAGAGGAUGAUCAGCCACACUGGGACUGAGACACGGCCCAGACUCCUACGGGAGGCAGCAGUGGGGAAUAUUGGACAAUGGGCGCAAGCCUGAUCCAGCCAUGCCGCGUGAGUGAUGAAGGCCUUAGGGUUGUAAAGCUCUUUUGUCCGGGACGAUAAUGACGGUACCGGAAGAAUAAGCCCCGGCUAACUUCGUGCCAGCAGCCGCGGUAAU
This 388-nucleotide ribosomal RNA is filed under the name uncultured bacterium. Its description in RNAcentral is "bacterial SSU rRNA". It matches the Rfam family "Bacterial small subunit ribosomal RNA", at positions 100 to 524 of the family's 1533-position model. The record is from RNAcentral.